AUUGAACGCUGGCGGCAUGCCUUACACAUGCAAGUCGAACGGCAGCAUGGAAGAGCUUGCUCUUCUGAUGGCGAGUGGCGAACGGGUGAGUAAAGCAUCGGAACGUACCGUGUAGUGGGGGAUAACGUAGCGAAAGUUACGCUAAUACCGCAUACGCACUGAGGUGGAAAGCAGGGGAUCGCAAGACCUUGCGCUAUACGAGCGGCCGAUGUCAGAUUAGCUAGUUGGUAGGGUAAAGGCCUACCAAGGCGACGAUCUGUAGCGGGUCUGAGAGGAUGAUCCGCCACACUGGGACUGAGACACGGCCCAGACUCCUACGGGAGGCAGCAGUGGGGGAAUUUUGGGACAAUGGGCGAAAGCCUGAUCCAGCCAUGCCGCGUGAGUGAAGAAGGCCUCGG
RNAcentral lists this ribosomal RNA (398 nucleotides) under uncultured bacterium. Its description in RNAcentral is "bacterial SSU rRNA". It matches the Rfam family "Bacterial small subunit ribosomal RNA", at positions 30 to 420 of the family's 1533-position model. The record is from RNAcentral.